AAUUAUUAUUAUCUGAUAAAAUUGAAAGGAUACAGAGAAUAUUAGCAUGAUCUAUGUGCAAGGAUAACACACAAAACAAGAAUGAUUCAAAUUUUUU
RNAcentral lists this small nuclear RNA (97 nucleotides) under Solanum lycopersicum (tomato). RNAcentral also lists the same sequence under 1 other name. Lineage: Eukaryota; Viridiplantae; Streptophyta; Magnoliopsida; Solanales; Solanaceae. The record is from RNAcentral.